RNAcentral lists this ribosomal RNA (253 nucleotides) under uncultured organism. Its description in RNAcentral is "partial 16S ribosomal RNA". It matches the Rfam family "Bacterial small subunit ribosomal RNA", at positions 524 to 776 of the family's 1533-position model. The record is from RNAcentral.
UACGUAGGUGGCAAGCGUUAUCCGGAAUUAUUGGGCGUAAAGGGUGCGCAGGCGGCUUCGCAAGUCAGGCGUGAAAUCCCCGAGCUUAACUUGGGAAUUGCGUUUGAAACUACGAAGCUGGAGUGUGGCAGAGGGAGGUGGAAUUCCACGUGUAGCGGUGAAAUGCGUAGAUAUGUGGAGGAACACCGAUGGCGAAGGCAGCCUCCUGGGCCAACACUGACGCUCAUGCACGAAAGCGUGGGGAGCAAACAGG